Molecule: small RNA, 275 nt
Filed under: marine eukaryotic metagenome
Description: 5' ureB small RNA
Rfam family: 5' ureB small RNA
Source: RNAcentral
AUCUGUUGAGGACAGAUGAAGUGGAUGUGUGCAUCGAUACCACCCGCAGUAAGUAUCUUGCCUUCUCCUGCAAUCACCUCCGUUCCCGGGCCGAUGACGAUGUCCACCUCAGGUUGGGUGUCGGGAUUUCCCGCCUUACCAAUUGCAGCAAUACGCCCGUCUUUUAUGCCCACAUCAGCUUUGACGAUCCCCCAAUAAUCCACAAUGAGUGCAUUCGUAAUAACCGUAUCGACCGUCUCGUCCGAUGAUCUCUGGCUCUGGCCCAUGCCGUCGCG